RNAcentral lists this ribosomal RNA (650 nucleotides) under Paracoccus sp. YIM KMY1. RNAcentral's name for it is "bacterial SSU rRNA". It matches the Rfam family "Bacterial small subunit ribosomal RNA", at positions 29 to 725 of the family's 1533-position model. Lineage: Bacteria; Pseudomonadati; Pseudomonadota; Alphaproteobacteria; Rhodobacterales; Paracoccaceae. The record is from RNAcentral.
ACGAACGCUGGCGGCAGGCUUAACACAUGCAAGUCGAGCGAGACCUUCGGGUCUAGCGGCGGACGGGUGAGUAACGCGUGGGAACGUGCCCUUCUCUACGGAAUAGCCCCGGGAAACUGGGAGUAAUACCGUAUACGCCCUUUGGGGGAAAGAUUUAUCGGAGAAGGAUCGGCCCGCGUUGGAUUAGGUAGUUGGUGGGGUAAUGGCCCACCAAGCCGACGAUCCAUAGCUGGUUUGAGAGGAUGAUCAGCCACACUGGGACUGAGACACGGCCCAGACUCCUACGGGAGGCAGCAGUGGGGAAUCUUAGACAAUGGGGGCAACCCUGAUCUAGCCAUGCCGCGUGAGUGAUGAAGGCCUUAGGGUUGUAAAGCUCUUUCAGCUGGGAAGAUAAUGACGGUACCAGCAGAAGAAGCCCCGGCUAACUCCGUGCCAGCAGCCGCGGUAAUACGGAGGGGGCUAGCGUUGUUCGGAAUUACUGGGCGUAAAGCGCACGUAGGCGGACUGGAAAGUCAGAGGUGAAAUCCCAGGGCUCAACCUUGGAACUGCCUUUGAAACUAUCAGUCUGGAGUUCGAGAGAGGUGAGUGGAAUUCCGAGUGUAGAGGUGAAAUUCGUAGAUAUUCGGAGGAACACCAGUGGCGAAGGCGGC